CCUACGGGGGGCAGCAGUGAGGAAUAUUGGUCAAUGGGCUAAGGCCUGAACCAGCCAAGUCGCGUGAGGGAAGACGGUCCUAUGGAUUGUAAACCUCUUUUGUCGGGGAGCAACGAGGCCACGUGUGGCCGAAGUGAGAGUACCCGAAGAAAAAGCAUCGGCUAACUCCGUGCCAGCAGCCGCGGUAAUACGGAGGAUGCGAGCGUUAUCCGGAUUUAUUGGGUUUAAAGGGUGCGUAGGCGGAACAUUAAGUCAGCGGUAAAAUCGAGGGGCUCAACCCCUUUAAGCCGUUGAAACUGGUGAUCUUGAGUGGGCGAGAAGUAUGCGGAAUGCGUGGUGUAGCGGUGAAAUGCAUAGAUAUCACGCAGAACUCCGAUUGCGAAGGCAGCAUACCGGCGCCCGACUGACGCUGAGGCACGAAAGCGUGGGGAU
RNAcentral lists this ribosomal RNA (432 nucleotides) under uncultured bacterium. RNAcentral describes it as "bacterial SSU rRNA". It matches the Rfam family "Bacterial small subunit ribosomal RNA", at positions 338 to 768 of the family's 1533-position model. The record is from RNAcentral.